GUGUCAGCCGCCGCGGUAAGACGGAGGGGGCUAGCGUUGUUCGGAAUUACUGGGCGUAAAGCGUGCGUAGGCGGCCUUUCAAGUUGGGUGUGAAAGCCCGGGGCUCAACCCCGGAGGUGCGCCCAAGACUGCUUGGCUAGAGACCCGGAGAGGUGAGUGGAACUCCCAGUGUAGAGGUGAAAUUCGUAGAUAUUGGGAAGAACACCAGUGGCGAAGGCGGCUCACUGGACGGGUACUGACGCUGAGGCACGAAAGCGUGGGGAGCAAACAGGAUUAGAUACCCCCGUAGUCC
This 292-nucleotide ribosomal RNA is filed under the name uncultured bacterium. Its description in RNAcentral is "partial 16S ribosomal RNA". It matches the Rfam family "Bacterial small subunit ribosomal RNA", at positions 505 to 796 of the family's 1533-position model. The record is from RNAcentral.